Molecule: RNase P RNA, 253 nt
Filed under: Gammaproteobacteria bacterium
Lineage: Bacteria; Pseudomonadati; Pseudomonadota; Gammaproteobacteria
Description: partial RNase P RNA component class A
Rfam family: Bacterial RNase P class A
About the family: Ribonuclease P (RNase P) is a ubiquitous endoribonuclease, found in archaea, bacteria and eukarya as well as chloroplasts and mitochondria. Its best characterised activity is the generation of mature 5'-ends of tRNAs by cleaving the 5'-leader elements of precursor-tRNAs. Cellular RNase Ps are ribonucleoproteins.
Source: RNAcentral
GAAAGUGCAGCAGAAAAUAUACCGCCUAAGGUUCUCUUCGGAGAAAACGGUAAGGUUGAAAUGGUGCGGUAAGAGCGCACCGCGUCGGUGGCAACAUUCGACGGCAUGGUAAACCCCACUCGGAGCAAGACCAAAUAGGGGAACAACGUGUGGCCCACAUGGUUCCCGGGUAGGUUGCUUGAGGAUUAUGGUGACAUAAUUCCAGAUGAAUGACUGUCCACGACAGAACCCGGCUUAUCGGCCAACUCCAUUU